GACGAACGCUGGCGGCGUGCUUAACACAUGCAAGUCGAACGGAAAGGCCCUGCUUUUGUGGGGUGCUCGAGUGGCGAACGGGUGAGUAACACGUGAGUAACCUUCCCUUUACUUUGGGAUAACUUCAGGAAACUGGGGCUAAUACCUGCUAGGAGCUCCUGCUGCAUGGUGGGGUUUGGAAAGUUUCGGCGGUUGGGGAUGGACUCCGGGCUUAUCAGCUUGUUGGUGGGGUAGUGGCUUACCAAGGCUUUGCUGGGUAGCCGGCCUGAGAGGGUGACCGGCCACAUUGGGACUGAGAUACGGCCCAGACUCCUACGGGAGGCAGCAGUGGGGAAUAUUGCACAAUGGGCGGAAGCCUGAUGCAGCAACGCCGCGUGCGGGAUGACGGCCUUCGGGUUGUAAACCGCUUUCGCCUGUGACGAAGCGUGAGUGACGGUAAUGGGUAAAGAAGCACCGGCUAACUACGUG
RNAcentral lists this ribosomal RNA (468 nucleotides) under uncultured bacterium. RNAcentral describes it as "partial 16S ribosomal RNA". It matches the Rfam family "Bacterial small subunit ribosomal RNA", at positions 28 to 507 of the family's 1533-position model. The record is from RNAcentral.